CGUUAGCGGCGGACGGGUGAGUAACACGUGGGUAACCUGCCUAUAAGACUGGGAUAACUCCGGGAAACCGGGGCUAAUACCGGAUAAUACAUGAAACCGCAUGGUUUCAUGAUGAAAGACGGUUUUGCUGUCACUUAUAGAUGGACCCGCGGCGUAUUAGCUAGUUGGUAAGGUAACGGCUUACCAAGGCAACGAUACGUAGCCGACCUGAGAGGGUGAUCGGCCACACUGGAACUGAGACACGGUCCAGACUCCUACGGGAGGCAGCAGUC
Molecule: ribosomal RNA, 272 nt
Filed under: uncultured Staphylococcus sp.
Lineage: Bacteria; Bacillati; Bacillota; Bacilli; Caryophanales; Staphylococcaceae
Description: partial 16S ribosomal RNA
Rfam family: Bacterial small subunit ribosomal RNA
Source: RNAcentral